RNAcentral lists this ribosomal RNA (301 nucleotides) under uncultured bacterium. Its description in RNAcentral is "partial 16S ribosomal RNA". It matches the Rfam family "Bacterial small subunit ribosomal RNA", at positions 509 to 807 of the family's 1533-position model. The record is from RNAcentral.
CAGUAGCCGCGGUAAUACGUAGGGUGCAAGCGUUACUCGGAAUUACUGGGCGUAAAGCGUGCGUAGGUGGUGGUUUAAGUCCGUUGUGAAAGCCCUGGGCUCAACCUGGGAAUUGCAGUGGAUACUGGGUCACUAGAGUGUGGUAGAGGAUAGUGGAAUUUCCGGUGUAGCAGUGAAAUGCGUAGAGAUCGGAAGGAACAUCUGUGGCGAAGGCGACCAUCUGGGUCAACACUGACACUGAGGCGCGAAAGCGUGGGGAGCAAACAGGAUUAGAUACCCCCGUAGUCCCUGUCUCUUAUAC